CAGGUUUCAUUUACUUGGACAAUUAUUCACCAUCUUUUCACUUCAGUCUGUGUAUAUCAUUACAGGUGAGGUCAUUUUACUCUUGUUGUUCCUGUCAUUUUUUUGUGGCUUUUCUUGGGACUAUUUUCAAUAUCCAUAUUUAUUUUUUACCAUCAUUAUUCACCUUGGGAGUUAGAUUUUUGCCAUAUUAAUAAUAUUUGUUUCUUUUCUAUUUCUCAUUUGUGUGUCUAAUAUUUUUUUUUAAUUUGUUCUUUUUAGAUAUACAUGACAGUGAAGUGUAUUUUGACAUAUACACAGGUGGAGUAUAAAGAUUCUGUUCUUGUAAAUGAAUGAGUUGGAGUUAAACUGAAGGAAGAACCAAGAGAUUUCAGCUGUAGUACAGCCCAUUUAACACUCUAGAUAUAGCUGGGUCUGAGUAUUGCCACUGAUACCCUUUUCCUUGGAUUUACACUACUACUGCCACAAGGCUACUGCUUAGCUAUACUUGUUAUCACAACACUGAAAAAUACCUAUAUUCCUUUUGAAAUUCAUAUUUCUUGAUCAUCUAUCAAAAUUCCAGACAAGAAUCUGUGCUUCCUUAGCUGUGGAGUAGUGGUCUUCCAGCCUCAGGUGGAGAAGAUGCAAAAUCUGGAUUCUAAAUGUUUUAUAACUAAGACAGAACUCUGUCUGCCUGAAUUCCCAAAGUAGGGUAUCAAGUAUUCAAAAGUAAAUGGGUGCAUAUAAAAGUUAUAGAUUCAUGUAGACACACAGGUACAACUAAAUAUUGUUUAGCGUUUCUAUCCCGAGUAGGAAUGUUUAAUAUCAUUCACUUUGACUUCAUUACUUUAUGUGUAAUGAAGUCAAAGUGAAAGAUAUAUCAAAUAUAAUUCAUAUAUCAAAUAUAAUUCAUAUUACUUUAAGACAAAUAGAAACUCAGAAAAAUUCAGAGGAUUGGUCUUUUGUAAACUUAUUUGCCCACCAAUCUAUUUUGAAUAAAAGAGGUUUUAGUUAUUAGGUUAUAUAUAUGAAACUUAAGGUAAUGAUUCAUAAACUUGUUCUGGAACAUCUUGUCUGCUUGGUAAUUGCCCUUUCAGUUCAUUAACUACUUUGCAUGCAUGAGUUCUCUCUACUGCUGUAUCAAAAUUAUUAGAAGUAUCAAGCACAUUUAUACUAUUCAAGGCAGUAUAAACUAUCUUUAAUUAAAAUAAAAGAACACUAAGCUGAAAGGAAAUGAUAUAAGAUAGUCAUAUACAUUUUGCUUGGAAUUAUAUUUCCUUCUUCCAUGAUUUAUGUUUUUUUGCCUUCUUUUUUAUUUUUUCCUUUGGUGUUGCUGCUCCUAAUCUUCACUGUUGCCUAUGUUACUGAAUAUUAUUUGAACCCUGUUAUUUUUGUUCCACUGAAUUAAAUUAACCAUGAGUAAUUUUUAGUUUUAUUACUAUUUUUAUUAUGUUUAUAUCGAAAGGAUAUAAAUACCUAAUUAAACAUCAAUUAUUAGCACAAACUAUAUCAAGUAAAUAUCAACAUAUUACUUGAGGGAAGAGCCCAGUACUUAAUUCAGCUGUCAGAGACCAAAGACUCUUUCUGAAAAGCUGUUAAUUUACACAUACAUUGUUUUUUAUCCUUGCUUUUCAAGUGCAGUUUUCUUGAGUCUGUAACAAAUGUUGAAAACAAGAAACAAGAUGAUAACAUAUACUAAAUUUGGGUUAAUGUGUAAAAAUAAGUCUUAAAUCUGG
This 1712-nucleotide long non-coding RNA is filed under the name Marmota monax (woodchuck). The record is from RNAcentral. Lineage: Eukaryota; Metazoa; Chordata; Mammalia; Rodentia; Sciuridae.